UGCGUAGGCGGGCUAAUAAGUCAGUGGUGAAAUCUUUCGGCUCAACCGGGAAACUGCCAUUGAUACUGUUUAUCUUGAGUUCGGUAGAGGUAGGCGGAAUGUGUAAUGUAGCAGUGAAAUGCUUAGAUAUUACACAGAACACCAAUUGCGUAGGCAGCUUACUAUGCCGACACUGACGCUGAGGCACGAAAGCGUGGGGAGCGAACAGGAUUAGAUACCCUGGUAGUCC
This 229-nucleotide ribosomal RNA is filed under the name uncultured bacterium. RNAcentral describes it as "partial 16S ribosomal RNA". It matches the Rfam family "Bacterial small subunit ribosomal RNA", at positions 568 to 796 of the family's 1533-position model. The record is from RNAcentral.